UACGGGAGGCAGCAGUGAGGAAUGUUGGACAAUGGAGGCAACUCUGAUCCAGCCAUGCCGCGUGCAGGAAGACUGCCCUAUGGGUUGUAAACUGCUUUUAUACAGGAAGAAACACUGCUACGUGUAGCAGCUUGACGGUACUGUAAGAAUAAGGAUCGGCUAACUCCGUGCCAGCAGCCGCGGUAAU
RNAcentral lists this ribosomal RNA (187 nucleotides) under uncultured bacterium. Its description in RNAcentral is "partial 16S ribosomal RNA". It matches the Rfam family "Bacterial small subunit ribosomal RNA", at positions 340 to 524 of the family's 1533-position model. The record is from RNAcentral.